ACUCCUACGGGAGGCAGCAGUGGGGAAUAUUGGACAAUGGGCGCAAGCCUGAUCCAGCCAUGCCGCGUGAGUGAUGAAGGCCCCUAGGGUUGUAAAGCUCUUUCACCGGUGAAGAUAAUGACGGUAACCGGAGAAGAAGCCCCGGCUAACUUCGUGCCAGCAGCCGCGGUAAUACGAAGGGGCGUAGCGUUGUUUCGGAUUUUACUUGGGCGGUAAAGACGCACGUAGGCGGACUUUUAAGUUCAGGGUGGAAAUACCCGGGGCGUCAACCCGGAACCUGCCUUUGUAUACUGGAAGUCUUGAGUAUGGUAGAGGUGAGUGGAAUUCCGAGUGUAGAGGUG
Molecule: ribosomal RNA, 341 nt
Filed under: uncultured bacterium
Lineage: Bacteria
Description: bacterial SSU rRNA
Rfam family: Bacterial small subunit ribosomal RNA
Source: RNAcentral